RNAcentral lists this ribosomal RNA (250 nucleotides) under uncultured bacterium. RNAcentral describes it as "partial 16S ribosomal RNA". It matches the Rfam family "Bacterial small subunit ribosomal RNA", at positions 524 to 773 of the family's 1533-position model. The record is from RNAcentral.
UACGUAGGGGGCAAGCGUUGUCCGGAUUUACUGGGUGUAAAGGGUGCUCAGGUGGAUUUGUUAGUCGGAGGUGAAACUCCGGAGCUUAACUCCGGAACUGCCUCCGAAACAGCAAGUCUUGAGUUUGGUAGAGGAUGAUGGAAUAUCUGGUGUAGCAGUGAAAUGCGUAGAGAUGUGGAAGAACACCGAUGGCGAAGGCAGCUCCCUGGGUUGACACUGACGCUCAUGCACGAAAGCGUGGGGAGCAAAC